CCUACGGGUGGCAGCAGUGAGGAAUAUUGGUCAAUGGUCGGGAGACUGAACCAGCCAAGCCGCGUGAGGGAUGAAGGUACAGAGUAUCGUCAACCUCUUUUGUCAGGGAACAAAGGCGGGGACGUGUCCCGGCCCGGCGAGUACCCGGAGAAAAAGCAUCGGCUAACUCCGUGCCAGCAGCCGCGGUAAUACGGAGGAUGCGAGCGUUAUCCGGAUUUAUUGGGUUUAAAGGGUGCGUAGGCGGGCUUUUAAGUCAGCGGUAAAAAGUCGGGGCUCAACCCCGUCCUGCCGUUGAAACUGGGGGCAUUGAGUGGGCGAGAAGAAGGCGGAAUGCGUGGUGUAGCGGUGAAAUGCAUAGAUAUCACGCAGAACCCCGAUUGCGAAGGCAGCCUUCCGGCGCCCUACUGACGCUGAGGCACGAAAGUGCGGGGAUCGAACAGGAUUAGAUAUCCGAGUAGUC
Molecule: ribosomal RNA, 460 nt
Filed under: uncultured bacterium
Lineage: Bacteria
Description: partial 16S ribosomal RNA
Rfam family: Bacterial small subunit ribosomal RNA
Source: RNAcentral